UUGGAGGGCAAGUCUGGUGCCAGCAGCCGCGGUAAUUCCAGCUCCAAUAGCGUAUAUUAAAGUUGUUGCAGUUAAAAAGCUCGUAGUUGAACUUCGGGGUUCACCCAUUGGUCAGGCUUAAUUGUCUGCACUGGUGAGAUGAAUCUCUACCUUCUGAGGAACUUUCAUGCCAUUUAUUUGGUGUGAUGGGAAAUCAGGACUGUUACCUUGAAAAAAUUAGAGUGUUUAAAGCAGGCUAACGUCUGAAUACAUUAGCAUGGAAUAAUGAAAUAGGACGGACUGAUUCUAUUUCGUUGGUUUCUAGGAUCACCGUAAUGAUUAAUAGGGAUAGUUGGGGGCAUUAGUAUUCAAUUGUCAGAGGUGAAAUUCUUAGAUUUAUUGAAGACUAACUACUGCGAAAGCAUUUGCCAAGGAUGUUUUCAUUAAUCAAGAACGAAAGUUAGGGGAUCGAAGACGAUCAGAUACCGUCGUAGUCUUAACCAUAAACUAUGCCGACUAGGGAUCGGACGAAGUUAAUUUUAUAAUGACGCGUUCGGCGCCUUACGGGAAAC
RNAcentral lists this ribosomal RNA (551 nucleotides) under Retama raetam. RNAcentral's name for it is "SSU rRNA". It matches the Rfam family "Eukaryotic small subunit ribosomal RNA", at positions 548 to 1098 of the family's 1831-position model. The record is from RNAcentral. Lineage: Eukaryota; Viridiplantae; Streptophyta; Magnoliopsida; Fabales; Fabaceae.